AGAGUUUGAUCCUGGCUCAGAUUGAACGCUGGCGGCAGGCUUAACACAUGCAAGUCGAACGGUAACAGGGAGGAGCUUGCUUCUUUGCUGACGAGUGGCGGACGGGUGAGUAAUGCUUGGGAAUCUGGCUUAUGGAGGGGGAUAACUACGGGAAACUGUAGCUAAUACCGCGUAAUAUCUUCGGAUUAAAGGGUGGGACUUUCGGGCCACCUGCCAUAAGAUGAGCCCAAGUGGGAUUAGGUAGUUGGUGGGGUAAAGGCCUACCAAGCCGACGAUCUCUAGCUGGUCUGAGAGGAUGACCAGCCACACUGGAACUGAGACACGGUCCAGACUCCUACGGGAGGCAGCAGUGGGGAAUAUUGCACAAUGGGGGGAACCCUGAUGCAGCCAUGCCGCGUGAAUGAAGAAGGCCUUCGGGUUGUAAAGUUCUUUCGGUGAUGAGGAAGGUGUUUGUUUUAAUAGAGCAAGCAAUUGACGUUAGUCACAGAAGAAGCACCGGCUAACUCCGUGCCAGCAGCCGCGGUAAUACGGAGGGUGCGAGCGUUAAUCGGAAUGACUGGGCGUAAAGGGCACGCAGGCGGUGACUUAAGUGAGAUGUGAAAGCCCCGAGCUUAACUUGGGAAUUGCAUUUCAUACUGGGUCGCUAGAGUAUUUUAGGGAGGGGUAGAAUUCCACGUGUAGCGGUGAAAUGCGUAGAGAUGUGGAGGAAUACCGAAGGCGAAGGCAGCCCCUUGGGAAUAUACUGACGCUCAUGUGCGAAAGCGUGGGGAGCAAACAGGAUUAGAUACCCUGGUAGUCCACGCUGUAAACGCUGUCGAUUUGGGGGUUGGGCUUUAAGCUUGGUGCCCGUAGCU
This 854-nucleotide ribosomal RNA is filed under the name uncultured bacterium. RNAcentral describes it as "bacterial SSU rRNA". It matches the Rfam family "Bacterial small subunit ribosomal RNA", at positions 8 to 853 of the family's 1533-position model. The record is from RNAcentral.